UCAAAAGCGGAGGAAAAGAAAAUAACAAGGAUUCCCCCCUGUAACGGCGAGUGAAGCGGGAAGAGCUCAAAUUUGAAAUCUGGCAGUCUUCGAUUGUCCGAGUUGUAAUCUAUAGAGGCGUUUUCCGUGCCGGACCGUGUCCAAGUCUCCUGGAAAGGAGUAUCAAAGAGGGUGAUAAUCCCGUACUUAACACGACCACCGGUGCUCUGUGAUACGUCUUCUACGAGUCGAGUUGUUUGGGAAUGCAGCUCAAAAUGGGUGGUGAAUUCCAUCUAAAGCUAAAUAUUGGCGAGAGACCGAUAGCGAACAAGUACCGUGAGGGAAAGAUGAAAAGCACUUUGGAAAGAGAGUUAAACAGUACGUGAAAUUGUUGAAAGGGAAACGAUUGAAGUCAGUCGUGUUCUUUGGAUUCAGCCAGUUCUGCUGGUCUACUUCCUUGGAACGGGUCAACAUCAGUUUUGUCCGGUGGAUAAAGGUAGUAGGAAUGUGACUUCUCCGGAAGUGUUAUAGCCUAUUAUCACAUACACUGGGUGAGACUGAGGACUGCAGCUCGCCUUUAUGGCCGGCCUUCGGGCACGUUCGAGCUUAGGAUGUGACAUAUGAUAGAACUU
This 611-nucleotide ribosomal RNA is filed under the name Trichosporon asahii. RNAcentral describes it as "eukaryotic LSU rRNA". It matches the Rfam family "Eukaryotic large subunit ribosomal RNA", at positions 44 to 620 of the family's 3401-position model. The record is from RNAcentral. Lineage: Eukaryota; Fungi; Basidiomycota; Tremellomycetes; Trichosporonales; Trichosporonaceae.